GACGAACGCUGGCGGCGUGCUUAACACAUGCAAGUCGAACGGUGAAGCGCCGUCCUUGUUGGUGGGUCGGGAGGAGUGGCGAACUGGUGAAUAACACGUUAGUAACCUUCUCCCUUCGUCUGGAUAACGGCAUGCCGGUGUUGAUAAUACGGGAUAUACUGAGUCUGUCGCAUGAUGGGUCUAGGACGGAUUUGGUGUCGGUUGUGGAUGGUCUCGCGGCGUAUCAGCUUGUUGGUGGGGUGAUGGCUUACCAAGGCGGUGACGAGUAGCCGGCCUGAGAGGGUGGACCGUCACAGUGGGGCUGAGAGGCGCACCAGACUCCGACGGGAGGCAGUAGUGGGGCAUACGGCACGAUGGGAGGAAGGCUGAAGCAGCGACGCCGCGGGAGGGAUGGUGGUCGGAGGGUUGAGAACCGCUUUCGGGAGAGAAGCAGGCUGGAAGUGUUUGUGCGCGGGUUGACGGUAGCUGGAUAAGAAGCCACGGCUAACUACGUG
This 494-nucleotide ribosomal RNA is filed under the name uncultured bacterium. RNAcentral's name for it is "partial 16S ribosomal RNA". It matches the Rfam family "Bacterial small subunit ribosomal RNA", at positions 28 to 507 of the family's 1533-position model. The record is from RNAcentral.